GUAAACCAGACAUGGAGAGAGGCUUGUUUUAGCGAUCUCUCUUCAGUAGGCAAACCACACAUGGAGAGAGGCUUGUUUUAGCGAUCUCUCUUCAGUAGGUAAACCAGUCAUGGAGAGAGGCUUGUUUUAGCGAUCUCUCUUCAGUAGGUAAACCAGUCAUGGAGAGAGGCUUGUUUUAGCGAUCUCUCUUCAGUAGGUAAACCAGUCAUGGAGAGAGGCUUGUUUUAGCGAUCUCUCUUCAGUAGGUAAACCAGUCAUGGAGAGAGGCUUGUUUUAGCGAUCUCUCUUCAGUAGGUAAACCACACAUGGAGAGAGGCUUGUUUUAGCGAUCUCUCUUCAGUAGGUAAACCACACAUGGAGAGAGGCUUGUUUUAGCGAUCUCUCUUCAGUAGGUAAACCACACAUGGAGAGAGGCUUGUUUUAGCGAUCUCUCUUCAGUAGGUAAACCAGUCAUGGAGAGAGGCUUGUUUUAGCGAUCUCUCUUCAGUAGGUAAACCACACAUGGAGAGAGGCUUGUUUUAGCGAUAUCAUCAUUAAAGAUCCACGUCUCUUUUUCCAUAUUCUGACGUCUAUCAUCACCACAAAUACACUUUCUGGUUCCAGCUGUUCAAUUCUUCUUAGCUAGAUGGUUAGGUUGUGUUUCUUUCAAAUACAUGGUUAGGUUAUGUUUCUUUCAUACACAUGUUGUAGUAUGGUUAAAUGUUGAGGUGGUUGACUGUUGAGGCUGCCGCUCUCUUUAAGAACCCUAUUACUGUAAUGACGAUGAGCUGUCAAUGAAACAUGUAAUUAUGGAGUCACCUUUACAUGUUAAAACAUGUCCUCUGGUUUGGCUGACGUUCAAUAGGCUAGGAUGUAUUUCAGUUAACAUGGCCACAUUUAUCAAAUCUCUUAUUCUCUCCUUCGCCCCUCUGUCACUGUUCAUCCCUCCAUCCCUAUCUUCAAAGCCUGUUCAAACGCAGCAAGAGCAACAGCAACAUGGACAAACGAACAAUAAUGUACAAAAAAGAGAAUUUGAA
RNAcentral lists this long non-coding RNA (1016 nucleotides) under Salmo salar (Atlantic salmon). Its description in RNAcentral is "lncRNA (ENSSSAG00000082349.1)". The record is from RNAcentral. Lineage: Eukaryota; Metazoa; Chordata; Actinopteri; Salmoniformes; Salmonidae.